UCCCAUUUGGGUUGUCAAUCCAACAACCCAACUGUGUCUCCAAAGAGAGAGAGAGAAACCCAAUUCUAGAGAGAGAAACCAACCUAUACUUACACACAUAUAUAAGCCCUAGGAGAGAGAAACUGAGCUUCAACUUUCACUCUUCAUCUCACAUUGUAUUCAAAGAUCUCACCUUUACAAUCGUCUUCUACACAAGGAACCGUCUUUUGCUAGGAAAUGGCGAAUUCAAAGGGGCCAUCGAGCUUCAGAAGUAUGAUGCACAAUGGAAAGCAUUCUCUACUGCCUCCUAAAAGUCCGUUCCCCAGUAUUACCCCUUCAUAUGUUGAUUAUGUUCCUAGUCCUGCUAUUGGAGUAAAAGGUAUGCCAAAGCCUAGAGAUGGAAACUCUUACCAUCAGCGCACUUCAUCUGAGAGCGUUCUGAUAGAGGACCAACCUUCUUGGUUGGAUGAGCUUCUUAAUGAGCCAGAAACACCAGUUGGCAGAGGUCAUCGCCGAUCAUCCAGCGACUCUUUUGCAUAUACUGAUGCACUUAGUGCUGCUAACAUUAGUUAUGCAGCUCAAAAUGAGUAUAGACCUAAAAACAUGACGACUAUUCAUUCAUGGAAAUCGCAAGACCUUGAUUUUUACAAAGAUGCACACAAUGCUUCAUUUUAUGCAGAUGCAAACUCGUUCAGCAAAAUCAAGAAUAGGUCUUGGAAUUCUCCUUCAUAUGUGAUGGCACAUCCAAGUGGGAACCUUUGUUCCAAGGACAAUUUUAUUCGUCAUAACUCAGUAUCAGAAUGUGCUUCCCAUGAAGCUGAUCAAUUUCCAUCUAAUGCCGAAAAGCUAAAUACCCCUGAAUCUGGUUCACAUGAUGCUAAAGCCUCUUCAGAGAGAAAGGAUCUAUCUUAUGCUAGAACUCCUGCAUCCGAAACCGACACAAAGCGUGCAAAACAGCAAUUUGCUCAACGCUCCCGUGUUCGAAAGCUACAAUACAUAGCAGAACUGGAAAGGAAUGUACAGGCAUUGCAGGCAAAAGGCUCUGAAGUUUCUGCUGAACUUGAAUUUCUUAAUCAGCAAAACCUUAUUCUGAGUAUGGAAAACAAAGCUCUGAAGCAACGAUUGGAGAAUCUCACCCAAGAGCAGCUUAUUAAGUACUUGGAACAUGAAGUACUGGAGAGGGAGAUUGAAAGGCUGCGGACCUUAUAUCAACAGCAGCAACAGCAACCACACCAGCAGCCUCCUCCCAGCCAUCAGCGUGCCAAAAGUCGGGAUCUUGAUUCUCAGUUUGCAAGCCUUUCCUUGAAACACAAGGACUCAAGUUCUGGUACUGAUUCCGUUGCUGGCCCGUUGAACAUCUAAUCUCAUAUACAUUGCUGGUGGUCGAUUUGCUUGCCUAAGAACUUCUCUAUGAUGCUUUCAUACCAAUCACCGAGUCCAAGUCAUUUCUGUAGAGUUUGGCUUGAGAAUAGAUCUUCCCAGGUGUAUUCACCUGUUUUUACACCUUUCUGAUUGGCCCUUAUCAUUUGGUUAUUUAUUCUACGUGGCCAUCCUUGUUGAUUUAGUAGAUCAUAUGCACCUGGUGAUCCGGCAGAUAGCUCACCGGAGGUGAAUACAUGAAAGCUUCAUCUGACUUAGGAAGCUUUACUACUGGGCCAGAAAAGUGAAAAUUUGUCUACACCGCGACAUUUAGUAGGAUAGUAGUGCAAGCCGCCGGCCACCGUACAUGCCAAUAUUCUGGUUGGCCAAACAAGAUCACUCCGAUUCUUAAGCAUUCCUGUAUAGUGAUGAAGCAGAGACGGUCAAGUUAAUUACCUUGAAACUUGGCAUUGUGAUUUGUGACUAGUUACAGGAAAACUCGAAUUCCCUAUUUAACUAUAAUAUUGACGAAACCAACGAGCCUGAAUUUGAUUCUUGUAAGUUAUUUGAGAUAAAAGAAAAAGAUAACAUAUAAUUUAUUAAUUUA
RNA transcript from Daucus carota subsp. sativus, 1945 nucleotides. RefSeq lists it as uncharacterized. The transcript has 6 exons. The record is from RefSeq and is a predicted model, not a curated record. Lineage: Eukaryota; Viridiplantae; Streptophyta; Magnoliopsida; Apiales; Apiaceae.